AACUAAGUGCCUGAUGGAAAGGGCUAUCUUGAUAGGGUAGAGUAUGUAAUUUAUUACCUUAGUUA
This 65-nucleotide transfer RNA is filed under the name Apatetica glabra. Its description in RNAcentral is "tRNA-Ile". The record is from RNAcentral. Lineage: Eukaryota; Metazoa; Arthropoda; Insecta; Coleoptera; Staphylinidae.